RNAcentral lists this ribosomal RNA (283 nucleotides) under uncultured Pseudomonadota bacterium. Its description in RNAcentral is "uncultured proteobacterium partial 16S ribosomal RNA". It matches the Rfam family "Bacterial small subunit ribosomal RNA", at positions 189 to 492 of the family's 1533-position model. Lineage: Bacteria; Pseudomonadati; Pseudomonadota. The record is from RNAcentral.
ACUCCAGUAAUGGGAAAGAUUAAUCGCCAUAAGAUUGGCCAGCGCAAGAUUAGCUUGUUGGUGAGGUAAAAGCCCACCAAGGCUGCGAUCAAUAGCUGGGUUGAGAGGAUGAUCAGCCACAUUGGGACUGAGACACGGCCCAAACUCCUACGGGAGGCAGCAGUGGGGAAUCUUGCACAAUGGAGGAAACUCUGAUGCAGCGAUGCCGCGUGAGUGAAGAAGGCCUUUGGGUUGUAAAGCUCUUUCGUCGGGGAAGAAAAUGACUGUACCCGAAUAAGAAGGU